ACACACCGCCCGUCACACCAUGGAAGCUGGUCACGCCCGAAGUCGUUACCCCAACUGUUCGCAGAGGGGGAUGCCGAAGGCAGGACUGGUGACUGGGGUGAAGUCGUAACAAGGUAGCCGUACCGGAAGGUGUGGCUGGAUCACCUCCUU
RNAcentral lists this ribosomal RNA (150 nucleotides) under Nodularia spumigena CCY9414. RNAcentral describes it as "partial 16S ribosomal RNA". It matches the Rfam family "Bacterial small subunit ribosomal RNA", at positions 1385 to 1532 of the family's 1533-position model. The record is from RNAcentral. Lineage: Bacteria; Bacillati; Cyanobacteriota; Cyanophyceae; Nostocales; Nodulariaceae.